UUUCCAUUUGUCUAUUUGCUAUGGAGGUCAAAGAGGUUUCCUGUAAACUUGAAGAGGCUCUUAAAAUUUCCAGGACUGUUGACAUAAUUUCAUAAACUCUGAAAAAUACGGAAAAUGAAAAUGUUUCCCUUUGCCAGCAGAUGUCACUGUUGCCUCUUAGCACUGACCAUAGUGUCUACAGGAGAUGAAGAUGAUGGAGAGCAAGCGAAGUAUUUGACUAAAGUCUCUGUGAAAAGGAGUCUGGAGGCACCUCUCUGGGACUGAUAUGGCGGGUCUGCUGUUUGAAAUGUAUCUGAAAUGGACAGCCCCUGAAACUCCAAAGGAAGAAGGAAUAUGCUCCACAAAAGCAAGGGAGUGCACUGAGAGAAAAGGCAUGGGACCCCCGGAACAGACUUUGAUAGGAGAGAGGCAAAAGGAAUUCACCAGCAUGGUAAUGAAAAGUCCUAGAUGAGAACUUCUGAGUGGAUCCAAGUGCAACUCUCUCAUACUACAGCAGGAAAACAAAAACUCCAAGACAGAGGACUCCCAAAGGAAAAGCAAUGGUGUUUACCAACAGUAUUACUAUUCUUGUGGUGAGUUUAAAGAAAAAUUAGCAGUACAGACAGUCAACUCAGCAAACAAGAAAUAAA
This is a long non-coding RNA of Myotis davidii, 629 nucleotides long. RefSeq lists it as uncharacterized. The record is from RefSeq and is a predicted model, not a curated record. Lineage: Eukaryota; Metazoa; Chordata; Mammalia; Chiroptera; Vespertilionidae. The transcript is spliced from 4 exons.